CUUCUGAAGCAUUUUCGCCUAAACAUCCAACCGGAACUAAGGAUGAGUUCAUAAUUUGCCAGCCGUGAACUAAUAUUUUGUGGACAGUCGGAGACAUUAGGUACCAAGGAUAUAUACUUAAGUACAUUGAAAAUGUGCUCUUACAAAAUUCCUUAAAUUUGUCAACAUCUACAGAAUAGUGAGACGAAAUGGUAAUCAAAAUCACGAAGAAAUUGUGUAGAAGGGCUUGAUCAAAUUUUGUUACUGAUGAAAACAAACGGGUAUUAGAGAAGGCUCUUCUGGCUGUGUUUCCGUCAUUACUAUUGCCACAACCAUUUUGCUUGGGCAUGUUUAUAUGGAGACCCAUUUGUUUCCACAUCAUGUCUUGAAUAUUCUUUUUUCGAGACAUUACUUCCAUUUUGUCAGCCUGCUUAAUAUGCCACUUUCGAAUUUCGAGCCUAUAUGACACAUUUAGAACGAAUUCAAAAAAACGAAUCCAGGCAUGCAAUGAACUCGCGCCGUAUUGAAGACUUUCAGGUCUUGGUGCAAAGUUUCCUGAAUAAAAAUCUGUGGUUUCCAGAAGCUCUGUUGCCUUAAAUCUUUGCAACAUUCGAUUGCACUGCGGCAAAUAUUUUUUGACGUGAUUCAG
Molecule: long non-coding RNA, 628 nt
Organism: Drosophila mojavensis
Lineage: Eukaryota; Metazoa; Arthropoda; Insecta; Diptera; Drosophilidae
Exons: 2
Source: RefSeq, a predicted model, not a curated record